AGGUUUGGUACUUUAAGCAUAAAAGGCGAUGUUUGCAUUUUCGUAAUGAGGCGUAGCCUCUCAGACCUA
RNAcentral lists this transfer RNA (69 nucleotides) under Magallana gigas (Pacific oyster). RNAcentral describes it as "Crassostrea gigas (Pacific oyster) tRNA-Ala". The record is from RNAcentral. Lineage: Eukaryota; Metazoa; Mollusca; Bivalvia; Ostreida; Ostreidae. RNAcentral also lists the same sequence under 1 other name.